UGAAAACUGUCUCAUAGCAAGAGAAAAACAUUUCAGUUUUUUGUUUUAGUGGUCAGUAUAGGAGAAUGAAAAUUGUCUGUGUUACCCUUACAGCUAUUUUGAUAAAUGUUGAGGUUUAACCUGCAAUACAACAAAUUUAAAACAGAAACUUCCAUUUGAAGUAUGACACUCAAGAGUUGAGGUCGUGAGUUUUGACUGUGUCCCGGCCGUGUCCCGGCCGUCAGAGGUCCUGGGAAAACCUCCGGCUGGCUUGGAAAGUGGCGUGCAGCGGCCUGGCCUCUCCGACGGGGGCGUCCCUCCGGGUGGGGCGAUGUGAAUGAGCGAUUCGCCGGGCCGGGCUGGGGACUCCACUGCCGACCUGCGUGCGCUCCUGAGUGAGCCCUGUGCACACAGUAUUCUUCUCCAAAAGCAACCAAAGUCAGGACACCAGAAGAGCAUUUCAUCCACCAAGGCUGGUUAGCCACGCGUCGCACUGACCCUUCCGAGUCCUUUUGCUGAGGUGUGCACAGUCUCCACGCUGUGCAGCCGGGUGGGUUGGUCUUUCUCUGCGCGUCUGUCCUAUCUUCCAUUUGUAACCCUGCCCUUCUGUCUGCAGGAAUGGGGACAGUGGAGUGUACAGCCCGACUGGAACACAAUGUUGGGAUAAAGCAACUAUUUAACCUGUUUAUUUAGGCAAAAUAUUUCAAUUUUCUACCUUUUCUAAUUUUUAUUUCAUGGUAAUAUCAAAAAUUGAAAAAAUGUUUAAUGUUAAACUCCUAGUUGCUAAAGAGCAAUGAGGAAUGGGAGGUAGCACUUAACAGUGAAGAUAAAAACACAGUAUUUUCUUGGACGCAUAUGUGAUUGGGUAUUAAACCAACCAGCAUCCUCUAUCAUCUCCACAAGAUCACAGGAGCCCGCUUGUUACUGCGUAAUUGCAGGGUCUGUACUUUACUCACUAGUUAGGAUUCUAGGUCCUGUACUGCAGUCCGCCUGGUCUGCACCACGCAUGUGCUGAGGACAGCAGCAGGGGCAGCACCUCUGCCUAAACCUCACCCACUCAAUGUGACUGAUGCUCAGGCCCUGCCCAGGGAGCCAGGUCACACCCUCCUCCUCCGUCCUCUCUAGUCCCUUCCUGCUUCCAGGUGUCUUGUCCAAGGCCUUGCCGGUUUACAUCCUGGUGGCAUUACCUGCUGAAGUCUUAAAGUUCUAAGGGAAACUGUCUCCUUGCCAAACCUGGUCCCCAAGGAUCGGAGCCAAGUGGAGUGGCUGUGUCCUUUCCAGAGUGCAGGUGACUCCCAAAGAGCAAGUCAGGUGGCCUUGAGAGGUGUGGGACCCAAGACUGGACUGUCGCACAGUCCCAAGGGCCUGCCUGGAAGCGAAUGUUCUAGAACCACAGGCUGUGCUGGUGGAGGCCAAAGGUCCCUGGCACUGCCCUGCUGUUCUGGGAGCGAGCAGUGUCCCCAGCCCCACCCCAGGGACGAUGACCCCUCCUCACAUUAGCUCUCAUGUGCACACAACAAGGCGUUGGUACCAAGACUGCAACCCUUCACGGCUUCUAUUGGACAUACUUUCUUUUAAGGAAUGAAGGAAAAUUCUCCCAUUUUUGAGCCAUUCUUUUGUCAAUUCUACAAAAUGCAUGUAACUUUAUAAAUAUUUUUAAAAGAUAUAGUUUUGUAAAUAUUUAAUAUUCUGCUAAUUUGAUUUUGAAUUGUAAAUGUCAAGUAUUCUGUUUUUGGGGUUUUUAUGUUUUAUUAUACUUUGUUAAAAAGGAAAAAUUGUACAUUUUUAGAAUGUUUUUAUGAGUAAAUUUA
This is a long non-coding RNA of Heterocephalus glaber (naked mole-rat), 1790 nucleotides long. NCBI's taxonomy places the organism in Eukaryota, Metazoa, Chordata, Mammalia, Rodentia, Bathyergidae. The record is from Ensembl.